Achroia grisella is the source of this 532-nucleotide long non-coding RNA. RefSeq lists it as uncharacterized. The transcript is spliced from 3 exons. NCBI's taxonomy places the organism in Eukaryota, Metazoa, Arthropoda, Insecta, Lepidoptera, Pyralidae. The record is from RefSeq and is a predicted model, not a curated record.
UUGCGGGGACUGCCCGCCCUGGGAUACGUUUCAGGAUAACAUUGCGAACUAAACGAUCGAGCGCGCGAAUUAUACUACUACUUACUAAGUUAUUUACUUAUAAAUUUACCGUUUAAUGUAGUGAAACCAUAAUUAUAUUAAAGCAACUACGGAUCAUAGUUGAAGCAGUAAAUUUAAGAUCUAAUAAUAAUAAAAAAUAGUAGGUAACAGUUAAAAAUAACUAUCAAGUUAAACAAUCGUUAAGCAGUAGUUCGGAGUUAACGUUGUUUACGCGGCGUGUAUGUCGAUGGACUUAUGGCUCGGGUGUUGACCUGAAAUGGACUUUAUUGUCAGGCCUAUGGAGUGUUUAUUGGCGCGUGUGCGAACGGCUGAGAAGGUGUCGGUACAUGUAAAUAUUUACUAUAGUUAGAGCGAGGAACGCGAGCGUCGAAUCGAGUCGCGGUAACUGAGGUGACUACGAAAAACGCAUACAGCAAGAACUGCUUCUUCGUCAUUAUAUAGUGAUCCUACAUUAGUAGACAGACACGUUCAG